This 253-nucleotide ribosomal RNA is filed under the name uncultured bacterium. RNAcentral describes it as "partial 16S ribosomal RNA". It matches the Rfam family "Bacterial small subunit ribosomal RNA", at positions 524 to 776 of the family's 1533-position model. The record is from RNAcentral.
UACGUAGGGUGCGAGCGUUGUCCGGAAUUAUUGGGCGUAAAGAGCUCGUAGGCGGUCUGUUGCGUCCGCUGUGAAAACUCGGGGCUUAACCCUGGGCCUGCAGUGGGUACGGGCAGACUAGAGUGCGGUAGGGGAGACUGGAAUUCCUGGUGUAGCGGUGAAAUGCGCAGAUAUCAGGAGGAACACCGGUGGCGAAGGCAGGUCUCUGGGCAUUAACUGACGCUGAGGAGCGAAAGCAUGGGGAGCGAACAGG